UCUUCCCUCCAAAAGUACCAAUCUUCAAGAAGCCUCUUCCUCCACCAGUGCCAAUCUACAAGAAACCUCUCCCUCCCCACAUCCCAGUGUACAAGAAGCCUCUUCCACCACCAAUCCCAGUAUACAAGAAGCCUCUUCCACCACCAGUCCCAAUAUACAAGAAGCCUCUUCCACCACCAAUCCCAGUAUACAAGAAGCCUCUUCCACCACCAGUCCCAGUAUACAAGAAGCCACUUCCACCACCAGUCCCAAUAUACAAAAAGCCACUUCCCCCACUAGUCCCAGUAUACAAAAAGCCUCUUCCCCCACCAAUUCCCAUAUACACAAAGCCAUUUCCACCACCAGUCCCAUUCUUUAAGCCAAAGCCAAAGCCACAUCCAUUCUUUAAGCCAAAGCCAAAGCCACAUCCAUUCUUUAAGCCUCACCCUCCACUGCCAAAGAUUCCUCAUCCAUUCUUUAAGCCUCUCCCUCCAUUGCCAAAGAUUCCUCACCCAUUCUUUAAGAAGCCACCAAUCCCACCACUCCACCCAAAAUAUUACUUCCCCCACCCAAAGGAUGGCAAGUUCCCACCCAUGCCACCUUUGGUUCCUCAAUAUCC
This 598-nucleotide long non-coding RNA is filed under the name Malus domestica (apple). Its description in RNAcentral is "long non-coding RNA (MDOM_LNC009353)". Lineage: Eukaryota; Viridiplantae; Streptophyta; Magnoliopsida; Rosales; Rosaceae. The record is from RNAcentral.